GAUGAACGCUGGCGGCGUGCCUAAUACAUGCAAGUCGAGCGAACAGACGAUGAUCUUGCUCCGCUGACGUUAGCGGCGGACGGGUGAGUAGCACGUGGAUAACCUACCUAUAAGACUUGGAUAACGUCGGGAAACCGUAGCUAAUACCAGAUAAUAUAUUGAACCGCAUUGUUCGAUAGUGAAAGACGGUUUUGCUGUCACUUAGAGACGGAUCCGCGCCGCAUUAGGGUGUUGGUAUGGUAACGCGUUACCAAGGCAACGAUGCGUAGCCGAGCUGAGAGGGGGAGCGGCCACACUGGAACGGAGGCACGGUCCAGACUGCUAAGAGAGGCAGCAGUAGGGAAGCUUGCGCAAUGGGCGAAAGUCUGACGGAGCAACGCCGCGUGAGGCAUGAAGGUCUUGGGAUCGUAAAACUCUGUUAUGAGGGAAGAACAAAUGUGUAAGUAACUAUGCACGUCUUGACGGUAACUAAUCAGAAAGCCACGGCUAACUUCGUG
RNAcentral lists this ribosomal RNA (497 nucleotides) under uncultured bacterium. RNAcentral describes it as "partial 16S ribosomal RNA". It matches the Rfam family "Bacterial small subunit ribosomal RNA", at positions 28 to 507 of the family's 1533-position model. The record is from RNAcentral.